UAUAGAAUCCGUACCGCAAACCGACACAGGUGAUCAGGUCGAUUAGACCAAGACGAACGAGUGAGUGGUCCCCAAGGAACUCGGCAAAAAAGCAGCCGUAACUUCGGGAUAAGGCUUCCCCAUGCAUCACAUUGCAUGUGAUGCGAAAUUUAAAUGUUGAAAUAUUUAAAUAUUUAAAUCUCGCAUCGCGCGUAGCGUGAUGCAUGGGGCGCAGUGAAAGUAUCUCUGGCAACUGUUUACCAAAAACACAGCUCCCUGCGAACUCGUAAGAGGAUGUAUAGGGGGUGACACCUGACCAAUGCCAGAAGGUCAAAUAUAGCCGUUGUGCGCAUCACAUUGCAUGUGAUGCUGAUGUUUAAACAUUUAAAUAUUUAAAUUUCAGCAUCGCGCGUAGCGCGAUGCGCAUGGUGAGUUAUAUAAGCCCUGGUGAAUGUCGGCCGUAACUAUAACGGUCCUAAGGUCCUGACGUUUUGAUCUCAAAUCAAGACGGAAGGAUGACUGGGACUGUUGUAGAAAAAGGUAAAUAAUUAAAUUAAAAAAUUAUUAGAUUAUUCGAAUGCUACCUGCUUUGCAGUAAUGCAAAGACAGUCAAAACUUGGCUAACGAGAGACCAGCGUCAAGUACCCUAACUUCUAACGAAGUGGGUAAAGAUAGAGUCCUUCUUAGGAGUAGAAGAGCGAAAUUCCUUGUCGGGUAAGUUCCGACGCGCACGAAUGGUGUAAUGACUGGAGAACUGUCUCGGGGACCAGCUCGGUGAAAAUACAAUACCGGUGAAGAUGCCGGUUAAGUGCAGUUAGACGAAAAGACCCUAUGAAGCUUUACUAUAACUUUAUAUUGAGCAUAUUUUUGGACUGCGUAGAAUAGAUGGGAGAGGUCUGAUGGAUUCGUUUUCGGAUGAAUUCUACUCGUCAGUGAAAUACCAUUCUUUUUGAGGAUAUGUUCUAACCAAAACGGCAAAAACGUUUUGAGACAGUAUAUGGCGGAUAGUUUUACUGGGGCUGUACCCUCGAGUACUUGAAACACCUCAUCCCCCGCCUUCCCCUGAAAGGGGAAGGGGCACCCUCUCCUUUCAGGAGAGGGCAGGGUGAGGUUGGGUUUUGAGUAUUCGAAUUUUACAGCUCCAAUGUCAAAGAGACUCUUUGACAUGAAACAAAAAUAGGGGGGCUUUCACGAAACAGAUAGAGUUUUAGACUCUAGACAGAGGCUAAACCUCUGUCUGUAUCAAAAUUGUGAUUGGAAAGUUGGGAAUUUGCUGGAAAAACCGGUUAAAACAUUCUUAAUUACAAAAUGUUCACCCGACCCUAGAGCAAACAAAGAUUGCUCGGGUUUAGGGGGUAUGGUAUACUACUUGCAUUAGUAAGUAACAAUGUAUACCUGCGGUUAAUCAGCAGGGAAAUAAAAUUAUAUGGGAGAAAAUGCACCAAAACAAGAAGCACCUUCAAUUAAAUCUUUAUUGACAAAAAGACAGAAAGAUUCUUUCAUAAAAUUUUUCGGUCAAAAUUGGUAUGAAAGAAUAGACGCUUUAACUCCACAAGAAUGGGAAAAGGUACGUCAAACAGCCGAAGAUUUAAAAGAAAUAGGACGUUUCCUUAUAAAGUAAAAAAACUAAUUAAAAUAAUUCCCUCAGAGACUACAAACCAACCUCGCCUCAUCGGCGAGAAUGUAUAGUCCGAUCUUCAUGGCGACAUGAAGUUAACACAAAUGCCUAAAAAGUAAAGGAGGGGUUUAAAGGUCAGCUAGGCGCGAAUGGAAACCGUGCCGAUAGUGUAUGAGCACAAGCUGGCUUGACUGUAAGACGUACUUGUCAAGCAGGUGGGAAACCAGAAUCAAGUGAACCGACCACCCGUGUUAGACGCGGUGGAAGAUUAACGGAUAAAAGCUACUCUAGGGAUAACAGGCUAGUUCCGCCCAAGAGUUCAUAUCNNNNNNNNNNNNAAAAGGUACGCGAGCUGGGUUCAGACCGUCGAAAAGCGAAGCUUUUCGACAAGUAAAAAGUUAUAAAGUCGAAAGUAAAAAGUUUGGCUGAUCGACAGUUUGAACCCUCAGAGGCUAAAACAUUUGCUUUGCAAAUGUUCGCCCGAACCUAGAACAAACGAAGUUUGUUCGGUUUUAGGGAAGAAAAAAUUACUGUUUUAAUCGAAGACAACCAAGUGCAUUAAAUUGCACACACGGCGGCGUCCCGAUGUAAAUCGGGAUGGCAAGCUAAUUUAUAUCGGAGAAAUCCCUAGAACUUUUGUAAACAAAAGUUCGGGCGAUAGUUUGCUUUGCAAAUUAUUUAGCCUACUAAAUUUUUAGGGAUAACGCCGAGGGAAUUCCCAUAAAUGGGAUGCCCGUAGAGACUGAAUGUUAGACAUCCUGAGCUUGUCGAAGGAUGAUGUCACAGUCCAAUCCCACGAGUAAUCGUGGACAUCCUAACCCGAUAGCGGGCGGAUAAAUAGAUGCGUGAGACAGGUUGGUCUCCUAUCUACUGCACUCGUUGAUUCUUGAAAAGAUCUGCUUCUAGUACGAGAGGACCGAAGUGGACUGACCUCUGGUGUGCCUGCUGUUCUGCCAAGAGCAAUGCAGGGUAGCUAUGUCGGGAAUGGAUAACCUCUGAAAGCAUCUAAGAGGGAAGCCAGCUUUAAGAUUAGGAAUCGUUAAGAACCGUGAGAGAUGAUCACGUUGAUAGGCUUUAAGUGUAAGGCGAGUAAUCGCUUGAGCUGAGAAGUACUAAUGUUUCGAUU
Molecule: ribosomal RNA, 2723 nt
Filed under: Candidatus Nomurabacteria bacterium RIFCSPLOWO2_12_FULL_40_42
Lineage: Bacteria; Candidatus Nomuraibacteriota
Description: partial 23S ribosomal RNA
Rfam family: Bacterial large subunit ribosomal RNA
Source: RNAcentral